CAGGAUGAACGCUGGCGGCGUGCUUAACACAUGCAAGUCGAACGGGUAGUGAUUGAAGCUUGCUUUGUUCAUACUAGUGGCGGACGGGUGAGUAACGCGUGGGUAACCCGCCUUAUACCGGGGGACAACAGCUGGAAACGGCUGCUAAUACCGCAUAAGCGCACAGAUAGGCAUCUAUCAGUGUGAAAAACUCCGGUGGUAUAAGAUGGACCCGCGUCUGAUUAGCCAGUUGGCGGUGUAACGGACCACCAAAGCGACGAUCAGUAGCCGGCCUGAGAGGGCAGACGGCCACAUUGGGACUGAGACACGGCCCAAACUCCUACGGGAGGCAGCAGUGGGGAAUAUUGCACAAUGGAGGAAACUCUGAUGCAAGCGACGCCGCGUGAGUGAAGAAGUAUCUCGGUAUGUAAAGCUCUAUCAGCAGGAAAGAAAAUGACGGUACCUGACUAAGAAGCCCCGGCUAACUACGUGCCAGCCGCCGC
This 482-nucleotide ribosomal RNA is filed under the name uncultured bacterium. RNAcentral's name for it is "bacterial SSU rRNA". It matches the Rfam family "Bacterial small subunit ribosomal RNA", at positions 25 to 518 of the family's 1533-position model. The record is from RNAcentral.